UACGGAGGGUGCAAGCGUUAUCCGGAUUCACUGGGUUUAAAGGGUGCGUAGGCGGGCAGGUAAGUCAGUGGUGAAAUCCUAGAGCUUAACUCUAGAACUGCCAUUGAUACUAUCUGUCUUGAAUAUUGUGGAGGUAAGCGGAAUAUGUCAUGUAGCGGUGAAAUGCUUAGAUAUGACAUAGAACACCUAUUGCGAAGGCAGCUUACUACGCAUAUAUUGACGCUGAGGCACGAAAGCGUGGGGAGCAAACAGG
RNAcentral lists this ribosomal RNA (253 nucleotides) under uncultured bacterium. RNAcentral's name for it is "partial 16S ribosomal RNA". It matches the Rfam family "Bacterial small subunit ribosomal RNA", at positions 524 to 776 of the family's 1533-position model. The record is from RNAcentral.